Molecule: long non-coding RNA, 346 nt
Organism: Liolophura sinensis
Lineage: Eukaryota; Metazoa; Mollusca; Polyplacophora; Chitonida; Chitonidae
Exons: 3
Source: RefSeq, a predicted model, not a curated record
AUAAAUGUCUGUUAAAUUUUUCGUUGCAUUCAUCUGGCGGACCACGACACCAUGAUCUACGAAGUUUCCCUCCUUCUGCUGGGCUUCAGUUUCGUCUUGAAUGUCGGAGUUCAGGGCAGCGUGAAGACAGUCCACCCUUCGACGACCUCUGUCCCAGUAGCUGAACUGAGCCGAUUUAGAGCCAAUGAUUUUUCCUCCAAUAGUCGAUUUUUUCGUGGACGAGAUGGUAGAGACGGUAGGGACGGACUGCAGGGACCUGUCGGACCGCCCGGUCCAGCCGGUCCUACGGGCCCUGCGGGACCGCAAGGGGAGACUGGGCGGCAGGGUCCCCAGGGGGAGAGAGGAC